This 497-nucleotide ribosomal RNA is filed under the name uncultured Glomeromycotina. Its description in RNAcentral is "partial small subunit ribosomal RNA". It matches the Rfam family "Eukaryotic small subunit ribosomal RNA", at positions 591 to 1091 of the family's 1831-position model. The record is from RNAcentral. Lineage: Eukaryota; Fungi; Glomeromycota.
CCAAUAGCGUAUAUUAAAGUUGUUGCAGUUAAAAAGCUCGUAGUUGAAUUUCGGGAUCAGUUCGCUGGUCGUGCCUCUGGUAUGUACUGGUGUUACUGGUUCCUCCCUUCUGACGAACUGUCAUGUCAUUUAUUUGGUGUGGCAGGGAAUCAGGACUGUUACUUUGAAAAAAUUAGAGUGUUUAAAGCAGGCUCGCGCUUGAAUACAUUAGCAUGGAAUAAUGAAAUAGGACGUUCGAUCCUAUUUUGUUGGUUUCUAGGAUUGACGUAAUGAUUAAUAGGGAUAGUUGGGGGCAUUAGUAUUCAAUUGUCAGAGGUGAAAUUCUUGGAUUUAUUGAAGACUAACUACUGCGAAAGCAUUUGCCAAGGAUGUUUUCAUUAAUCAAGAACGAAAGUUAGGGGAUCGAAGACGAUCAGAUACCGUCGUAGUCUUAACCAUAAACUAUGCCGACUAGGGAUCGGAUGAUGUUAUUUUUAAUGACUCAUUCGGCGCCUUAC